RNAcentral lists this ribosomal RNA (253 nucleotides) under uncultured bacterium. Its description in RNAcentral is "partial 16S ribosomal RNA". It matches the Rfam family "Bacterial small subunit ribosomal RNA", at positions 524 to 776 of the family's 1533-position model. The record is from RNAcentral.
GACAGAAGGUGCGAACGUUGUUCGGAAUUACUGGGCGUAAAGCGCGUGUAGGCGGCAGCGCAAGUCGGGCGUGAAAUCCCACGGCUCAACCGUGGAAGUGCACUCGAAACUGCGCAGCUAGAGUCCUGGAGAAGAAGGUGGAAUGCUUGGUGUAGAGGUGAAAUUCGUAGAUAUCAAGCGGAACACCGGUGGCGAAGGCGACCUUCUGGACAGUGACUGACGCUGAGACGCGAAAGCGUGGGGAGCAAACAGG